Molecule: ribosomal RNA, 1906 nt
Filed under: Staphylococcus aureus
Lineage: Bacteria; Bacillati; Bacillota; Bacilli; Caryophanales; Staphylococcaceae
Description: partial 23S ribosomal RNA
Rfam family: Bacterial large subunit ribosomal RNA
Source: RNAcentral
AAGGGAAACAGCCCAGACCACCAGCUAAGGUCCCAAAAUAUAUGUUAAGUGGAAAAGGAUGUGGCGUUGCCCAGACAACUAGGAUGUUGGCUUAGAAGCAGCCAUCAUUUAAAGAGUGCGUAAUAGCUCACUAGUCGAGUGACACUGCGCCGAAAAUGUACCGGGGCUAAACAUAUUACCGAAGCUGUGGAUUGUCCUUUGGACAAUGGUAGGAGAGCGUUCUAAGGGCGUUGAAGCAUGAUCGUAAGGACAUGUGGAGCGCUUAGAAGUGAGAAUGCCGGUGUGAGUAGUGAAAGACGGGUGAGAAUCCCGUCCACCGAUUGACUAAGGUUUCCAGAGGAAGGCUCGUCCGCUCUGGGUUAGUCGGGUCCUAAGCUGAGGCCGACAGGCGUAGGCGAUGGAUAACAGGUUGAUAUUCCUGUACCACCUAUAAUCGUUUUAAUCGAUGGGGGGACGCAGUAGGAUAGGCGAAGCGUGCGAUUGGAUUGCACGUCUAAGCAGUAAGGCUGAGUAUUAGGCAAAUCCGGUACUCGUUAAGGCUGAGCUGUGAUGGGGAGAAGACAUUGUGUCUUCGAGUCGUUGAUUUCACACUGCCGAGAAAAGCCUCUAGAUAGAAAAUAGGUGCCCGUACCGCAAACCGACACAGGUAGUCAAGAUGAGAAUUCUAAGGUGAGCGAGCGAACUCUCGUUAAGGAACUCGGCAAAAUGACCCCGUAACUUCGGGAGAAGGGGUGCUCUUUAGGGUUAACGCCCAGAAGAGCCGCAGUGAAUAGGCCCAAGCGACUGUUUAUCAAAAACACAGGUCUCUGCUAAACCGUAAGGUGAUGUAUAGGGGCUGACGCCUGCCCGGUGCUGGAAGGUUAAGAGGAGUGGUUAGCUUCUGCGAAGCUACGAAUCGAAGCCCCAGUAAACGGCGGCCGUAACUAUAACGGUCCUAAGGUAGCGAAAUUCCUUGUCGGGUAAGUUCCGACCCGCACGAAAGGCGUAACGAUUUGGGCACUGUCUCAACGAGAGACUCGGUGAAAUCAUAGUACCUGUGAAGAUGCAGGUUACCCGCGACAGGACGGAAAGACCCCGUGGAGCUUUACUGUAGCCUGAUAUUGAAAUUCGGCACAGCUUGUACAGGAUAGGUAGGAGCCUUUGAAACGUGAGCGCUAGCUUACGUGGAGGCGCUGGUGGGAUACUACCCUAGCUGUGUUGGCUUUCUAACCCGCACCACUUAUCGUGGUGGGAGACAGUGUCAGGCGGGCAGUUUGACUGGGGCGGUCGCCUCCUAAAAGGUAACGGAGGCGCUCAAAGGUUCCCUCAGAAUGGUUGGAAAUCAUUCAUAGAGUGUAAAGGCAUAAGGGAGCUUGACUGCGAGACCUACAAGUCGAGCAGGGUCGAAAGACGGACUUAGUGAUCCGGUGGUUCCGCAUGGAAGGGCCAUCGCUCAACGGAUAAAAGCUACCCCGGGGAUAACAGGCUUAUCUCCCCCAAGAGUUCACAUCGACGGGGAGGUUUGGCACCUCGAUGUCGGCUCAUCGCAUCCUGGGGCUGUAGUCGGUCCCAAGGGUUGGGCUGUUCGCCCAUUAAAGCGGUACGCGAGCUGGGUUCAGAACGUCGUGAGACAGUUCGGUCCCUAUCCGUCGUGGGCGUAGGAAAUUUGAGAGGAGCUGUCCUUAGUACGAGAGGACCGGGAUGGACAUACCUCUGGUGUACCAGUUGUCGUGCCAACGGCAUAGCUGGGUAGCUAUGUGUGGACGGGAUAAGUGCUGAAAGCAUCUAAGCAUGAAGCCCCCCUCAAGAUGAGAUUUCCCAACUUCGGUUAUAAGAUCCCUCAAAGAUGAUGAGGUUAAUAGGUUCGAGGUGGAAGCAUGGUGACAUGUGGAGCUGACGAAUACUAAUCGAUCGAAGACUUAAUCAA